Molecule: ribosomal RNA, 670 nt
Filed under: uncultured bacterium
Lineage: Bacteria
Description: bacterial SSU rRNA
Rfam family: Bacterial small subunit ribosomal RNA
Source: RNAcentral
GCCUACACAUGCAAGUCGAACGCUCACCUUCGGGUGGGAGUGGCAGACGGGAUGAGUAACGCGUGGGAACCUACCCAAGGGUACGGAAUAACUCAUGGAAACUUGGGCUAAUACCGUAUACGUCCUCCGGGAGAAAGAUUUAUCGCCCCUGGAUGGGCCCGCGUCUGAUUAUCUUGUUGGUGGGGUAAUGGCUCACCAAGGCGACGAUCAGUAGCUGGUUUGAGAGGAUGAUCAGCCACACUGGGACUGAGACACGGCCCAGACUCCUACGGGAGGCAGCAGUGGGGAAUAUUGGACAAUGGGCGAAAGCCUGAUCCAGCCAUGCCGCGUGAGUGAAGAAGGCCUUAGGGUUGUAAAACUCUUUCAGCAGGGAAGAUAAUGACGGUACCUGCAUAAGAAGCCCCGGCUAACUCCGUGCCAGCAGCCGCGGUAAUACGGAGGGGGCUAGCGUUGUUCGGAAUUACUGGGCGUAAAGCGCGCGUAGGCGGAUUGUUAAGUCGGGGGUGAAAUCCCGGGGCUCAACCCCGGAACUGCCUCCGAUACUGGCAAUCUCGAGUUCGGGAGAGGUGAGUGGAAUUCCUAGUGUAGAGGUGAAAUUCGUAGAUAUUAGGAGGAACACCAGUGGCUAAGGCGGCUCACUGGCCCGAUACUGACGCUGAGGUGCGAAAGC